Guillardia theta CCMP2712 is the source of this 128-nucleotide small nuclear RNA. It matches the Rfam family "U4 spliceosomal RNA". Rfam says of the family: U4 small nuclear RNA (U4 snRNA) is a component of the major U2-dependent spliceosome. Lineage: Eukaryota; Cryptophyceae; Pyrenomonadales; Geminigeraceae. The record is from Rfam.
AUCUUUGCGCUUGGGGCAAUAUCAGUGCACAUGAGAUCCAUUCGAUGCCUGAUGAUUGCUAGUUGAAAACUACUCCAAUCCCCGCGACGAGCCUCUGGCCGUCGCAAUUUUUGACGGGCCUCACCGGC